AUUUGAAGGUUUAAUGCUCAAAUGCAGCCUGUUAUUAAGAUGUACUACACUACUCAGGCUACAUAUAGUCAGUG
Etheostoma spectabile (orangethroat darter) is the source of this 74-nucleotide long non-coding RNA. RefSeq lists it as uncharacterized. NCBI's taxonomy places the organism in Eukaryota, Metazoa, Chordata, Actinopteri, Perciformes, Percidae. The transcript is spliced from 3 exons. The record is from RefSeq and is a predicted model, not a curated record.